ACGGAAGGCAGCAGUGGGGAAUAUUGCACAAUGGGCGCAAGCCUGAUGCAGCAACGCCGCGUGAGGGAAGACGGUCUUCGGAUUGUAAACCUUUGUCUUUGGUGAAGAAACAAUGACGGUAGCCAAGGAGGAAGCCACGGCUAACUACGUGCCAGCAGCCGCGGUAAUACGUAGGUUGCAAGCGUUGUCCGGAUUUACUGGGUGUAAAGGGCGUGUAGGCGGAGCUGCAAGUCAGAUGUGAAAUCCCGGGGCUCAACCCCGGAACUGCAUUUGAAACUGUAGCCCUUGAGUAUCGGAGAGGCAAGCGGAAUUCCUAGUGUAGCGGUGAAAUGCGUAGAUAUUAGGAGGAACACCAGUGGCGAAGGCGGCUUGCUGGACGACAACUGACGCUGAGGCGCGAAAGCGUGGGGAGCAAACAGGAUUAGAUACCCUGGUA
This 436-nucleotide ribosomal RNA is filed under the name uncultured Oscillospiraceae bacterium. Its description in RNAcentral is "bacterial SSU rRNA". It matches the Rfam family "Bacterial small subunit ribosomal RNA", at positions 341 to 792 of the family's 1533-position model. Lineage: Bacteria; Bacillati; Bacillota; Clostridia; Eubacteriales; Oscillospiraceae. The record is from RNAcentral.